Molecule: long non-coding RNA, 241 nt
Filed under: Ananas comosus (pineapple)
Lineage: Eukaryota; Viridiplantae; Streptophyta; Magnoliopsida; Poales; Bromeliaceae
Description: long non-coding RNA (ACOM_LNC035083)
Source: RNAcentral
GUCGAUGCUGUAGGCGAAGGACUCGGAGCAGGUGCAGUGAAUGCGGAGCGGACGGAGGUGACGAGGUCGUAGCCGAAGCAGUUGUCGCCUGUGAGGCUGAGGGCUAAGACCGUAACAUAUUGAAAUCCGGAAGAAAUUAUCGAACUUUACCCAAAUUGGUUAAAGUUGUCGAGAGAAAUAGUUGGAUAGGUUCCAUUUAGCAUUCCAACAAGAUUGGAAGGGCUAAAAAUGAGUUUAAGAG